GGUUAAGCGACUAAGCGUACACGGUGGAUGCCCUGGCAGUCAGAGGCGAUGAAGGACGUGCUAAUCUGCGAAAAGCGUCGGUAAGGUGAUAUGAACCGUUAUAACCGGCGAUGUCCGAAUGGGGAAACCCAGUGCAAUUCGUUGCACUAUCGUUAACUGAAUACAUAGGUUAACGAGGCGAACCGGGGGAACUGAAACAUCUAAGUACCCCGAGGAAAAGAAAUCAACCGAGAUUCCCCCAGUAGCGGCGAGCGAACGGGGAGCAGCCCAGAGUCUGAAUCAGCUUGUGUGUUAGUGGAACGGUCUGGAAAGUCCGACGGUACAGGGUGAUAGUCCCGUACACCAAAAUGCACAGGUUGUGAACUCGAAGAGUAGGGCGGGACACGUGGUAUCCUGUCUGAAUAUGGGGGGACCAUCCUCCAAGGCUAAAUACUCCUGACUGACCGAUAGUGAACCAGUACCGUGAGGGAAAGGCGAAAAGAACCCCGGCGAGGGGAGUGAAAAAGAACCUGAAACCGUGUACGUACAAGCAGUGGGAGCACCUUCGGGUGUGACUGCGUACCUUUUGUAUAAUGGGUCAGCGACUUAUAUUCUGUAGCAAGGUUAACCGUAUAGGGGAGCCGCAGGGAAACCGAGUCUUAACUGGGCGUUAAGUUGCAGGGUAUAGACCCGAAACCCGGUGAUCUAGCCAUGGGCAGGUUGAAGGUUGGGUAACACUAACUGGAGGACCGAACCGACUAAUGUUGAAAAAUUAGCGGAUGACUUGUGGCUGGGGGUGAAAGGCCAAUCAAACCGGGAGAUAGCUGGUUCUCCCCGAAAGCUAUUUAGGUAGCGCCUCGUGAACUCAUCUUCGGGGGUAGAGCACUGUUUCGGCUAGGGGGUCAUCCCGACUUACCAACCCGAUGCAAACUACGAAUACCGAAGAAUGUUAUCACGGGAGACACACGGCGGGUGCUAACGUCCGUCGUGAAGAGGGAAACAACCCAGACCGCCAGCUAAGGUCCCAAAGUCAUGGUUAAGUGGGAAACGAUGUGGGAAGGCACAGACAGCCAGGAUGUUGGCUUAGAAGCAGCCAUCAUUUAAAGAAAGCGUAAUAGCUCACUGGUCGAGUCGGCCUGCGCGGAAGAUGUAACGGGGCUAAACCAUGCACCGAAGCUGCGGCAGCGACACUAUGUGUUGUUGGGUAGGGGAGCGUUCUGUAAGCCUGCGAAGGUGUGCUGUGAGGCAUGCUGGAGGUAUCAGAAGUGCGAAUGCUGACAUAAGUAACGAUAAAGCGGGUGAAAAGCCCGCUCGCCGGAAGACCAAGGGUUCCUGUCCAACGUUAAUCGGGGCAGGGUGAGUCGACCCCUAAGGCGAGGCCGAAAGGCGUAGUCGAUGGGAAACAGGUUAAUAUUCCUGUACUUGGUGUUACUGCGAAGGGGGGACGGAGAAGGCUAUGUUAGCCGGGCGACGGUUGUCCCGGUUUAAGCAUGUAGGCUGGUUAUCCAGGCAAAUCCGGAUAAUCAAGGCUGAGGUGUGAUGACGAGGCACUACGGUGCUGAAGUAACAAAUGCCCUGCUUCCAGGAAAAGCCUCUAAGCAUCAGGUAACAUCAAAUCGUACCCCAAACCGACACAGGUGGUCAGGUAGAGAAUACCAAGGCGCUUGAGAGAACUCGGGUGAAGGAACUAGGCAAAAUGGUGCCGUAACUUCGGGAGAAGGCACGCUGGUGUGUAGGUGAAGUCCCUGCGGAUGGAGCUGAGACCAGUCGAAGAUACCAGCUGGCUGCAACUGUUUAUUAAAAACACAGCACUGUGCAAACACGAAAGUGGACGUAUACGGUGUGACGCCUGCCCGGUGCCGGAAGGUUAAUUGAUGGGGUUAUCCGUAAGGAGAAGCUCUUGAUCGAAGCCCCGGUAAACGGCGGCCGUAACUAUAACGGUCCUAAGGUAGCGAAAUUCCUUGUCGGGUAAGUUCCGACCUGCACGAAUGGCGUAAUGAUGGCCAGGCUGUCUCCACCCGAGACUCAGUGAAAUUGAACUCGCUGUGAAGAUGCAGUGUACCCGCGGCAAGACGGAAAGACCCCGUGAACCUUUACUAUAGCUUGACACUGAACAUUGAGCCUUGAUGUGUAGGAUAGGUGGGAGGCUUUGAAGCGUGGACGCCAGUCUGCGUGGAGCCAACCUUGAAAUACCACCCUUUAAUGUUUGAUGUUCUAACGUUGGCCCCUGACCGGGGUUGCGGACAGUGUCUGGUGGGUAGUUUGACUGGGGCGGUCUCCUCCCAAAGCGUAACGGAGGAGCACGAAGGUUAGCUAAUCCUGGUCGGACAUCAGGAGGUUAGUGCAAUGGCAUAAGCUAGCUUGACUGCGAGCGUGACGGCGCGAGCAGGUGCGAAAGCAGGUCAUAGUGAUCCGGUGGUUCUGAAUGGAAGGGCCAUCGCUCAACGGAUAAAAGGUACUCCGGGGAUAACAGGCUGAUACCGCCCAAGAGUUCAUAUCGACGGCGGUGUUUGGCACCUCGAUGUCGGCUCAUCACAUCCUGGGGCUGAAGUAGGUCCCAAGGGUAUGGCUGUUCGCCAUUUAAAGUGGUACGCGAGCUGGGUUUAGAACGUCGUGAGACAGUUCGGUCCCUAUCUGCCGUGGGCGCUGGAGAAUUGAGGGGGGCUGCUCCUAGUACGAGAGGACCGGAGUGGACGCAUCACUGGUGUUCGGGUUGUCAUGCCAAUGGCACUGCCCGGUAGCUAAAUGCGGAAGAGAUAAGUGCUGAAAGCAUCUAAGCACGAAACUUGCCCCGAGAUGAGUUCUCCCUGAGACUAUAAGUCUCCUGAAGGAACGUUGAAGACGACGACGUUGAUAGGCCGGGUGUGUAAGCGCAGCGAUGCGUUGAGCUAACCGGUACUAAUGAACCGUGAGGCUUAACCUU
Molecule: ribosomal RNA, 2902 nt
Filed under: Klebsiella pneumoniae
Lineage: Bacteria; Pseudomonadati; Pseudomonadota; Gammaproteobacteria; Enterobacterales; Enterobacteriaceae
Also listed under: 2 other names
Description: 23S ribosomal RNA
Rfam family: Bacterial large subunit ribosomal RNA
Source: RNAcentral